RNAcentral lists this unclassified non-coding RNA (339 nucleotides) under soil metagenome. Its description in RNAcentral is "partial contains 5.8S ribosomal RNA, internal transcribed spacer 2, and large subunit ribosomal RNA". The stretch from base 1 to 120 matches the Rfam family "5.8S ribosomal RNA", at positions 35 to 154 of the family's 154-position model. The record is from RNAcentral.
GAUGAAGAACGUAGUGAAAUGCGAUACGUAGUGUGAAUUGCAGAAUUCAGUGAAUCAGCGAAUCUUUGAACGCACAUUGCACCUCUCGGUAUUCCGGGAGGUAUGCCUGUUCGAGCGUCAUUUGUACCCUCAAGCUCUGCUUGGUGUUGGGUGUUUGUUCCGCCUCUGUGUGUGAACUCGCCUCAAAACAAUUGGCAGCCGGCGUACUUGUUUCGGAGCGCAGCACAUUUUGCGAUCCAGAUCAACGUACAGCGGCAUCCAAGAAGCCUUAUUUAACGCUCUUGACCUCGGAUCAGGUAGGGAUACCCGCUGAACUUAAGCAUAUCAAUAAGCGGAGGA